GAGGUCCCGCCUGCCCUGUGACUAUAAGUUUAACGGCCGCGGUAUUUUAACCGUGCGAAGGUAGCGUAAUCACUUGUCUUUUAAAUGAAGACCUGUAUGAAUGGCAUCACGAGGGCUUAGCUGUCUCCCAUCUCCAGUCAAUGAAAUUGACCUCCCCGUGCAGAGGCGGGGAUGAUUACAUAAGACGAGAAGACCCUAUGGAGCUUUAGACCUAAAGUAAGUCACGUUUAACAUGCUGUGAUAACAGUAAAAACUUAGUGAUAUUUACUGAAGUGUCUUUGGUUGGGGCGACCGCGGGGUAAAACACAACCCCCAUGUGGACCGGGGAUAUUAUCCCUAAUACUCAGAGCCUCUACUCCAAGUAACAGAAAUUCUGACUUUUCUGAUCCGGUAUAACCGAUCAACGAACCGAGUUACCCUAGGGAUAACAGCGCAAUCCCCUCUCAGAGCCCAUAUCGACGAGGGGGUUUACGACCUCGAUGUUGGAUCAGGACAUCCUAAUGGUGCAGCCGCUAUUAAGGGUUCGUUUGUUCAACGAUUAAAGUCCUACGUGA
Molecule: ribosomal RNA, 554 nt
Filed under: Gadus macrocephalus (Pacific cod)
Lineage: Eukaryota; Metazoa; Chordata; Actinopteri; Gadiformes; Gadidae
Description: partial 16S ribosomal RNA
Rfam family: Bacterial large subunit ribosomal RNA
Source: RNAcentral